GAUGUGAUGAAGUCCGUUACAACUGAAAGCGACACUCUGAUCCACUAGAUUCCAAACAGUUUAAACAGUAAAAACUGACCGAGUAAAUGUGAAUAUUUUUUCACUUGAACACUCUGAUCUGUUUGGAACUUAAUUUCCUUACUCAUGAAAUUAAUAUAAUAAGGCUAAGUUGGUCAGUAGUUAAACUAACUAAAUUUGGCUGAAGAUUGCUAUGUUCACUAUGCAAAGAUUAGACCGUUAGUUCCCUGAGUGAAGAGAUGCUAUCUUGGUAUCUCCAGCUUCCAACCGGGGGCUUGGCACAGAAUAGGGGCUUGGUAAAUGUUUUCCAAAUGAAUGGGAUGUCUGAUGGAAAGAAGACAAGGUGAAGGAAUUCCUGGGUAAUAUGGAGAUGAGAAUCUGUGAGAAGGAUACAUGUACUGAUGCCUGUCGCGGUGGACACACAGACGCACACAUUGCGGAACACCACCAUAAGAAUAUUGAGAAUAUCGAGAACACUUCAAUAUUCCAAACUUCAAUGGAAAUAUACGUAGGUUUCACUUAACUAUGGUCCUGAUGGCUUUUUUGAAAAAGAAAGAAAGAAAAAAUGUUUUCAUCAUAUUAAGAAAAUGUCUUAGUCUUAGUUCAGAGAUUUCAUCAGAAAAUGAUGUUGAUUUAUAUAAAAGCUUUUUCAUAGAUAUAUCAAACCUAUAGAAAUUAUAAUGCAUUUUUCUCCUCUUUUGAUAUAUUGAUACAAUGCUGCAGAUCUUCUAAGAUUGAAUGAUCCUUGCAUUACUGAAAUAAGUAUUGUCAUAGUGUAUUAUCAUUUUAUUACAGUAUGCAUUUGAUUUUUCUGGUGUUUUAUUUUUGUCAUUUCCGUCUAUAUAAAGUAAAAUUAGUCUACAUGGGGUAUAUGUGUGUGCAUGUGCAUGUGUGCAUGUGUGUGUGUGUGUAUUUGCUAUUUUGGUCAGGUUUGCUAUUAGCACUAUGGAAGGUUAUAAAAUAAGUUGGACAGCUGUCUAUUUUUUUUUAGAUGCUGUAAAAUUUCAAAUUCAUGCUCCACUUCUUAUAAAAGGUAUGACUUUGUGAAAGUUGCUUUGUUGUUAAAUUUCUUUUGUCAAAAUUAAAUACUUGAGCUUUUCCCACUUUUGAGGUACAUUUAAACAUUUUAUAUUAAUGAAUUUUACAUGUAUAUUUAUAACUUAUGUUUUCCUUUAAGAAUUUUAAAUAUAUAACCAGGUGCAUAUAAAAGAUUUUAAAAUAAAUUAUAAUAUCUGUCAAA
Long non-coding RNA from Homo sapiens (human), 1258 nucleotides. Lineage: Eukaryota; Metazoa; Chordata; Mammalia; Primates; Hominidae. The record is from Ensembl.